GCUGGUCAAAAGGAACCAAGGCC
RNAcentral lists this microRNA (23 nucleotides) under Python bivittatus (Burmese python). RNAcentral describes it as "pbv-miR-133b-5p". Its record names the gene pbv-miR-133b-5p. Lineage: Eukaryota; Metazoa; Chordata; Lepidosauria; Squamata; Pythonidae. The record is from miRBase by way of RNAcentral.